GCCGGGUGCGGUGGCACGUGCCUGUAGUCCCAGCUACUCAGGAGGCUGAGGCUGGAGGAUUACUUGAGCCCAGGAGUUCUGGGUUAUAGUGCACUAUGCCCAUUGGGUGUCUGCACUAAGUUCGGCAUCAAUAUGGUGUCCUCCCAGGAGCAGGGGACCACUAGAUUGCCUAAGGAGGGGUGAACCGGCCAGGUCAGAAAUGGAGCAAGGUCAAAACUCCCAUGCUGAUCAGUAGUGGGAUUGGCCUGUGAAUAGCCACUGCACUCCAGCCUGGGCAACAUAGCAAGACCCCAUCUCA
Molecule: signal recognition particle RNA, 298 nt
Filed under: Aotus nancymaae (Ma's night monkey)
Lineage: Eukaryota; Metazoa; Chordata; Mammalia; Primates; Aotidae
Description: Metazoan signal recognition particle RNA (ENSANAG00000003039.1)
Rfam family: Metazoan signal recognition particle RNA
About the family: The signal recognition particle (SRP) is a universally conserved ribonucleoprotein.
Source: RNAcentral